Molecule: long non-coding RNA, 1184 nt
Filed under: Oncorhynchus kisutch (coho salmon)
Lineage: Eukaryota; Metazoa; Chordata; Actinopteri; Salmoniformes; Salmonidae
Description: lncRNA (ENSOKIG00005050570.1)
Source: RNAcentral
ACAAUUAUUUCCAUCCAAUCAACCAACAAAAACAGUCAACUACUUCCUUCCCGUAAAGAUCCGUGAUUCUAACCAAUAGGGAAACGGCAUGUUCUUUCUCACCAAUCACAGUGCCCCCAUGUUUCCCUGUAGCCAAUCACCUGUCGGGAAGUUAUGAAUGUGUCUGUGUGUUCCUGUGGUCAGGACGCGUUGCCGUCCUUACGACGUUUUUUCUUUAAAGAUAAGCCAAGGAGGAGGUCAGUGGAGCAAUUAGAACAUCAGUAGCCAGGAGCAAAUGGUAGGAAAGAGGAUGAUUUAAGUGACCCGGUCACAGGCCCAAAACAAGUUAAACUACCCCAGUAUUUCCUUGACCGUUUUGGAUUGCAAAAUUUAAAGAAACACACUAAACAAGACAGAGACAGCAACAGAAGAAUAGGAUAGGAUGGAGAGACACCAGAAGAACAGAACAAGCCAUAAACAGAAGAGGAUAGACAAAGGAGACGGUAACAGACAAGACACAGACAGCAACAGACAAGACACAUAGAAAGUAACAGAAGAGGGCAGGUGGAUUGAGCACACAGUAGACUGUAUCACUUCAAGCUGCUCAAUAGAAUAUAAUUUGUUUAAUUUAUUUUCAUAAAUUAUAAGAAGUGAAAUACAGACAGUGAAAAAAUAAAACAUGGCUUACAAAAAAUGUAAGGUGAAAAUCAUGUGAAAUUACUAUUAAGACAUUAGUGUGUGUGUGUGUGAGGGUGUUUGGGUACUUUGGGUGUCACGGAUCCCUCCGGAACGUUCAUUACACACACCUGCCCCCUAUUCGCAGUGGUUAGUAAUUGUAUAAGUGUGCCCUUGGUUUAUAAGUGUCCUGACAAUUAUUGUUACAAUGUCAGUUGGUUCGUGUGAGUACCUGUGCUGUGUGUUUUGGCUUUCGUGCCAUUGUGAAUUGCGCACAUAAUUACGGGUCUCAUUCCAUGUGUUAAUCUUUUUGCGCUUAUGAUAUCUAUUCAAGGUAUUCCUCGCUCUUUUUGGGGGGUUUCUACCCUGUGUUUUGUAUAGUGUUUGUUUGGUCUUUGUCCCCAUGUCUUUACACGGCACGUUAUAAUUUGGGUGUAAUAAAAAAAAACGUAUUACGCAUUCCUGCGCCUGUCUCCCGAAUUAUUCAUACCAGCGUGACAGUGGGACUUUAAUCAGUUUUGGCUCAGUGG